GUUACAUUGUGUUUCAGACACAAACCAGAUCUUUUGAAAGGACGCUUUCGUCGCCUGAAGUACCUUGAUAUGAAUAGGAUUGAUCUGAUCCCAAUGUGCAUCAUGGUCUGCUGUGUUCUGCAUAACCUGUGUCUCACCAAUGAGAAGGAUGUGGAGGACAUGAUCCAGACUGGGCAGGAGGAGCCACCACAGGAGGUACAUCAGGACCAAGAGCGGUAGCUGCUGAGAAGAGAAAUUACAAAUGAAUACCGUUGUUUUCUUUGCAGUCGGCAAGAAUCAUGUCAAGGCAGGGACAGAGAAAGGUGGCUGUGAAGACACACCGAUAUCUGUGUCAGACAGCAAGAGAUCCUGCCUGGGAAACAGGAUACCCUAUCCCACUAAAUGUGUGGGGAAAUUGAGCGCACCAGGGCUGUCACAUAGCUCCAUGAGACGACUGCAGGCAUGGACCUCACAUGGGCACAUACAUGUGUCCUCAUGUGUACA
Long non-coding RNA from Conger conger (European conger), 483 nucleotides. RefSeq lists it as uncharacterized. The record is from RefSeq and is a predicted model, not a curated record. The transcript is spliced from 4 exons. NCBI's taxonomy places the organism in Eukaryota, Metazoa, Chordata, Actinopteri, Anguilliformes, Congridae.